GCCAGGGGGAGGUGCUGAGCGCCUCUUGUCUUUCCUCACAGGGAGGAGAUGUACUACAAGGCCGUGCACAACACCGCCGUCCUCUUCCUGCAGAACAGCGCAGGCUUUGCCAAGUGGGAGCCCACGCCGGAGCGGCUGCAGGAGCUCGUUGCGGCCUACAAGCACUCGGGCCGCACCCUCAGCUCCUCGUCCUCGUCGUCCUCGUCCUCCUGCGACAAGGAGCGGGAGCUGGGCCGCGAGCAGAGCGGCAGCCGGGAGCCGAAUGCCAACUGAGGUGCAGAGGUGAGAGGCAGCAGGGGAGGCGCCGGCGGCCCCGAGGAGGCUCGCCAGGGCAGGCGGAGAGACUGCUGGCUGCGCAGCACCGGCCCGGGGGACUCUUGCCCGGCAGCGCCACGGAGCCCCCGGCCGGGAGAGGAGCUGGGCUGCAGCCACGCCGCGGGGCGAGGGAGCCACGCGUGGGCGGCAGGACGAGCGCCCGAGCACGGAGGGAAGCGAGGAAGGAAGGGGCAGCAGGAGAGGAGUUCUUUGGUGUGUAAAGACGUCUUUGCAGCUGUUUUGUAGUCGUUGUGGUUUUUAUGCGGAGCCUCCGGGCUGUAUUUAACCUCCUUGGGUUUUGUUUUGUAAGGAUUAAUUUAACACCGCUAACCAUUUUAUUACUUUUAUCGAGAAGAGCAAA
RNAcentral lists this long non-coding RNA (676 nucleotides) under Anas platyrhynchos platyrhynchos (common mallard). Its description in RNAcentral is "lncRNA (ENSAPLG00000024137.1)". Lineage: Eukaryota; Metazoa; Chordata; Aves; Anseriformes; Anatidae. The record is from RNAcentral.